AGAGUUUGAUCAUGGCUCAGAUUGAACGCUGGCGGCAUGCUUUACACAUGCAAGUCGAACGGCAGCACAGGGAGCUUGCUCCCGGGUGGCGAGUGGCGCACGGGUGAGUAAUACAUCGGAACGUGUCCUGUUGUGGGGGAUAACUGCUCGAAAGGGUGGCUAAUACCGCAUGAGACCUGAGGGUGAAAGCGGGGCAUCGCAAGACCUCGCGCAAUUGGAGCGGCCGAUGCCCCGAUUAGCUAGUUGGUGAGGUAAAGGCUCACCAAGGCGACGAUCGGUAGCUGGUCUGACGAGGACGACCAGCCACACUGGGACUGAGACACGGCCCAGACUCUACGGGAGCA
RNAcentral lists this ribosomal RNA (344 nucleotides) under uncultured bacterium. RNAcentral's name for it is "bacterial SSU rRNA". It matches the Rfam family "Bacterial small subunit ribosomal RNA", at positions 8 to 349 of the family's 1533-position model. The record is from RNAcentral.